RNAcentral lists this non-coding RNA (58 nucleotides) under unclassified sequences. The record is from RNAcentral.
CCCGAGUACUCGGGACGACAUGUGGGAAGACGUCAAUGACGUCUUCCCGAAUCGCAAG